This is a long non-coding RNA of Tyto alba (common barn owl), 1306 nucleotides long. RefSeq lists it as uncharacterized. The record is from RefSeq and is a predicted model, not a curated record. The transcript is spliced from 3 exons. Lineage: Eukaryota; Metazoa; Chordata; Aves; Strigiformes; Tytonidae.
UCUGCUGCAAAUGGAUUUCUAUAUUACUAUAUCCAUAUAGAUAUGAGCAUGCAUGUAUGUAAGUACUGAGUCUAAUGAUCUCCAAGUAAGAAUUUGCCUAUUUCUGGCAGCCUGCUCUCAUAACCAGCCCGUUAUCCGAUACAGCUGAUAUAAUGGAUGGUUUUGCACGUUAAGGAUGUUUUCUUUCUCUCUUCAUAGUUUAAAUUGAGUAUCUCUGUUUAUGUGAAAUAUCUUUCAGCCAAGACAAAUGACCCAAUGCCAAGGCUCAAGCAAGGACUGUAUCCUCCUUUGCCUUCAGGUUUGGGGAAAGCUUGGCAGGGGCACUUGGCAUCCCACCGGGCAGCCGCUCCUCUCCCUCCCUGCUCAGGCCCGUGCUGAUCUCCCUUCUUCUACCGAUUUCUGAUGGUGGCUAACGCAACCAGCAGUAUAAAUAAUCUACACAUAUAAAGAAGUCUUGUGUCAUAAGAAAACAUUCUUCAAAGCAAAUGAAAAACUCUGCAGAGGUGAGCUGAAACCUAAACUCCAGAUGAAAGACUUACCACUGGUUCCCCAAUUUUUUUCUGGAAUGGACCAAACCCACGCACCCUGGGCAUGAAGGCACUACGAGUUGGGAUGGCACUCCCCAGCUGUACCUGAAACUUCAGCUGCCUGCAUCGCAGCCCACUCUGGAAGGUACUAGAAUUACCUGACAAGAAUUGUGACCAAAACGGAAAAAUUCCGACCGAAGUCAAACAUCUCGUGACCCUAUAAAUAGCGACCCUAAGUGAGACCCUUUGAGCGCUCUGGGGUCCCAGCACACUGUGACCCAGUACCUCCCCCUGAGCUGGGAUGUCCUCGGGUUAGAUUUUGUGAGGAUUUUGAAGAGUAGAUUUCGCAAGGAUUCCCGAGGUCAUCCACUGAUAGAUUCCGACAAAGAAGAAGGGUUCAAAGAUCAUCUGCUGACAAAUGCUGACGAAGGAGAAUAAUGAGUAAUUCACUACAAUUAGAUCUUGUGAGGUUUCAAAGAUCAUUUGGUACUAAUAAUUUACUACAGUACGCAGAGAGAGAAAAGUCUUGAUCAUAGGUUAAGCUCGAUAUGUGUGUGUGUGUCUGUGUGUGUGCGAUUCGAUUUAGGAAACUUUGUUGUAAGUCCUGUGUGGACCUUGCCAUUUUCACAUUUUAACUAAGUUACUAUGUUGAUUAUAGCAAAUUUUACUAAAUUGCGCUGAUAAUUGUCUGAGGAUUAAGUAUUGUUAAAAACCAUGCAACCUAAUCUUGUGAUUUACCUUAAUAGUGCUAAUAAAUUGUAAAUUGCUGCUACCUCAAA